UGUGUUUCCAAACUGCUCAAUCAAAAGAAAGGUUCAACUCCGUGAGAUGAACGCACUCAUCACAAAGAAGUUUGUCAGAAUUCUUCUCUCUAGUUUUUAUGUGAAGAUAAAUUCCUUUUCCACCGUAGGCUUCAAAGUGCUCCAAAUGACCAUUUGCAGAUUCUACAAAAAGAGAGUUUCAACACUGCUCAAUCAAAAGAAAGGCUCAAUUCUGCGAGAUGAAUGCACAUAUCACAAAGAACUUUCUCAGAAUUCUUCUGUCUUGUUUUUAUGUGAAGAUAUUUCCUUUUAAACCAUAGGCCUCAAGGCGCUCGAAAUGUCCA
RNAcentral lists this long non-coding RNA (323 nucleotides) under Homo sapiens (human). Its description in RNAcentral is "HSALNT0379651". The record is from RNAcentral. Lineage: Eukaryota; Metazoa; Chordata; Mammalia; Primates; Hominidae.